This 194-nucleotide ribosomal RNA is filed under the name uncultured Staphylococcus sp. RNAcentral's name for it is "partial 16S ribosomal RNA". It matches the Rfam family "Bacterial small subunit ribosomal RNA", at positions 146 to 334 of the family's 1533-position model. Lineage: Bacteria; Bacillati; Bacillota; Bacilli; Caryophanales; Staphylococcaceae. The record is from RNAcentral.
ACUUCGGGAAACCGGAGCUAAUACCGGAUAAUAUAUUGAAUCGCAUGGUUCAAUAGUGAAAGACGGUUUUGCUGUCACUUAUAGAUGGAUCCGCGCCGCAUUAGCUAGUUGGUAAGGUAACGGCUUACCAAGGCAACGAUGCGUAGCCGACCUGAGAGGGUGAUCGGCCACACUGGAACUGAGACACGGUCCAG